AGAAAAAUAUUAUGAAACUGAAAACAUGCCAAAAUAAUCUAGAAAGAAGCAUGCUUCAUAUAAAAAAACAAGACAAAGUCAGACUCUCUACUAUCCGAAGCAAGACCAAGGUCAGAGAUGUGGCAGUAACAAUUAAGAAGCUUAAGUGGAAGUGGACAGGACACUUCAUGCGGGAUAAAAGGGAUAAGUGGACCAGGGAUGUCGCCCCUGCCAAAGAUGGGAGGAUGACCUCAGACAGACAGCAGGAGACACAUGGAGAAGGAAAGCAAGAGAUAGAGAAAUAUGGAAGUGUCUGGAGGAGGCCUAUGCCCGAGGGCAAGCUGAAGAAAUGAAUCAGUGUCAAUGAUAUGUUGUAAUAAUAUUUUGUUUAUAAAUUCAGCAAAUAAAGGCUUUAUUAUUAUUAUUA
Molecule: long non-coding RNA, 406 nt
Organism: Bicyclus anynana (squinting bush brown)
Lineage: Eukaryota; Metazoa; Arthropoda; Insecta; Lepidoptera; Nymphalidae
Exons: 2
Source: RefSeq, a predicted model, not a curated record